This 700-nucleotide ribosomal RNA is filed under the name bacterium. RNAcentral describes it as "partial 16S ribosomal RNA". It matches the Rfam family "Bacterial small subunit ribosomal RNA", at positions 80 to 765 of the family's 1533-position model. The record is from RNAcentral.
UGCUCCCUGAGAUUAGCGGCGGACGGGUGAGUAACACGUGGGCAACCUGCCUAUAAGACUGGGAUAACUUCGGGAAACCGGAGCUAAUACCGGAUACGUUCUUUUCUCGCAUGAGAGAAGAUGGAAAGACGGUUUCGGCUGUCCCUUUAAAAUGGGCCCCCGGCCCAAUAACUAAUUGGGGAAGGAAUGGCCCACCAAGGGAAACAAUCCUAACCCACCUGAAAGGGUGAACGGCCCCCCUGGGACUGAAAACCGGCCCAAAACCCUACGGGAGGGAACAAUAAGGAAUCUUCCCCAAUGGACCAAAGUCUGAAGGAACAACCCCCCCUGAACCAAAAAGGCCUUCCGGUCCUAAAGUUCCGUUGUUAGGGAAAAACCAGUACCAAAAUAACCGGUGGUACCUUGACGGGACCUAACCCAAAAGCCCCGGGUAACUACCUGCCAACAACCCCGGUAAAACCUAAGGGGCAAACGUUUUCCGGAAUUAUUGGGCGUAAAGCCCCCCCAGGGGGUUCCUUAAGUUUGAAGGGAAAACCCACGGGUCAACCCGGGAAGGUCAUUGGAAACUGGGGAACUUGAAUGCCAAAAAAGAAAAUGGAAUUCCAAAUGGAACCGUUAAAUGGCUAAAAAUUUGGAAGAACCCCAAUGGCCAAAGGCAAUUUUCUGGUCCGUAACUGACCCUGAAGCCCCAAAAACCUGG